GGGGAUUUAGCUCAGCGAUAGAGCACUUGCCUAGCAAGCGCAAGGCCCUGGGUUCGAUCCCCAGCUCCG
Molecule: transfer RNA, 69 nt
Filed under: Rattus norvegicus (Norway rat)
Lineage: Eukaryota; Metazoa; Chordata; Mammalia; Rodentia; Muridae
Rfam family: tRNA
About the family: Transfer RNA (tRNA) molecules are approximately 80 nucleotides in length. Their secondary structure includes four short double-helical elements and three loops (D, anti-codon, and T loops).
Source: Rfam by way of RNAcentral